This 164-nucleotide ribosomal RNA is filed under the name uncultured bacterium. RNAcentral describes it as "partial 16S ribosomal RNA". It matches the Rfam family "Bacterial small subunit ribosomal RNA", at positions 355 to 511 of the family's 1533-position model. The record is from RNAcentral.
UAGGGAAUCUUCCACAAUGGGCGGAAAGCCUGAUGGAGCAACGCCGCGUGUGUGAUGAAGGGUUUCGGCUCGUAAACACUGUUGUAAGAGAAGAAUGACAUUGAGAGUAACUGUUCAAUGUGUGACGGUAUCUUACCAGAAAGGAACGGCUAAAUACGUGCCAG